GUGAGUCAUCGAAUCUUUGAACGCACAUUGCGCCCGCCAGUAUUCUGGCGGGCAUGCCUGUUCGAGCGUCAUUACAACCCUCAAGUCCCCUGUGGACUUGGUGUUGGGGACCGGCGACACGCAGCUGUGUUUUUCUCACAGUUGGUUCGCCGCCCCCUAAAUGACUUGGCGGCCCCGUCUUAGGCUACCCCUCUGCGUAGUAGAACACACCUCGCAACAGGAAGCCCGGCGAAUGGCCACUGCCGUAAAACCCCCCAACUUCUUUCAGAGUUGACCUCGAAUCAGGUAGGAAUACCCGCUGAACUUAAGCAUAUCAAUAAGCGGAGGA
RNAcentral lists this unclassified non-coding RNA (328 nucleotides) under Thermoascaceae sp. RNAcentral describes it as "partial contains 5.8S ribosomal RNA, internal transcribed spacer 2, and large subunit ribosomal RNA". The stretch from base 1 to 71 matches the Rfam family "5.8S ribosomal RNA", at positions 84 to 154 of the family's 154-position model. The record is from RNAcentral. Lineage: Eukaryota; Fungi; Ascomycota; Eurotiomycetes; Eurotiales; Thermoascaceae.